CUCUAACUGGCGAGAUGUAAAAAACUUUUCGACCUGAACUCAGACGUGGAC
This 51-nucleotide ribosomal RNA is filed under the name Rotylenchulus macrosomoides. Its description in RNAcentral is "partial 28S ribosomal RNA". Lineage: Eukaryota; Metazoa; Nematoda; Chromadorea; Rhabditida; Hoplolaimidae. The record is from RNAcentral.